AUUGAACGCUGGCGGCAGGCCUAACACAUGCAAGUCGAGCGAGUGGCGGACGGGUGAGUAAUGUCUGGGAAACUGCCCGAUAGAGGGGGAUAACUACUGGAAACGGUAGCUAAUACCGCAUACCAUCGGAUGUGCCCAGAUGGGAUUAGCUAGUAGGUGGGGUAACGGCUCACCUAGGCGACGAUCCCUAGCUGGUCUGAGAGGAUGACCAGCCACACUGGAACUGAGACACGGUCCAGACUCCUACGGGAGGCAGCAGUGGGGAAUAUUGCACAAUGGGCGCAAGCCUGAUGCAGCCAUGCCGCGUGUAUGAAGAAGGCCUUAGGGUUGUAAAGUACUUUCAGCGGGGAGGCGUUACUCGCAGAAGAAGCACCGGCUAACUCCGUGCCAGCAGCCGCGGUAAUUC
RNAcentral lists this ribosomal RNA (406 nucleotides) under uncultured bacterium. Its description in RNAcentral is "partial 16S ribosomal RNA". It matches the Rfam family "Bacterial small subunit ribosomal RNA", at positions 30 to 526 of the family's 1533-position model. The record is from RNAcentral.